UUUACAAGGGAAAAGCAACCCCAUUAAAAAGUGGGCAAAGUAAGGUCUUUGGGGAACAGGGAUGCUUAUUUCCUCUGCCUUCCUUGUCUGCCUACACGG
Molecule: small nucleolar RNA, 99 nt
Organism: Homo sapiens (human)
Lineage: Eukaryota; Metazoa; Chordata; Mammalia; Primates; Hominidae
Source: Ensembl